RNAcentral lists this ribosomal RNA (506 nucleotides) under uncultured bacterium. RNAcentral's name for it is "partial 16S ribosomal RNA". It matches the Rfam family "Bacterial small subunit ribosomal RNA", at positions 29 to 523 of the family's 1533-position model. The record is from RNAcentral.
AGUGAACGCUGGCGGUAGGCCUAACACAUGCAAGUCGAACGGCAGCGCAGGAGAGCUUGCUCUCUGGGUGGCGAGUGGCGGACGGGUGAGGAAUACAUCGGAAUCUACUUUUUCGUGGGGGAUAACGUAGGGAAACUUACGCUAAUACCGCAUACGACCUACGGGUGAAAGCAGGGGAUCUUCGGACCUUGCGCGAUUGAAUGAGCCGAUGUCGGAUUAGCUAGUUGGCGGGGUAAAGGCCCACCAAGGCGACGACCCGUAGCUGGUCUGGGAGGAUGAUCAGCCACACUGGAACUGAGACACGGUCCAGACUCCUACGGGAGGCAGCAGUGGGGAAUAUUGGACAAUGGGCGCAAGCCUGAUCCAGCCAUACCGCGUGGGUGAAGAAGGCCUUCGGGUUGUAAAGCCCUUUUGUUGGGAAAGAAAUCCAGCUGGCUAAUACCCGGUUGGGAUGACGGUACCCAAAGAAUAAGCACCGGCUAACUUCGUGCCAGCCGCCGCAGUAA